ACCGACUAAUGUUGAAAAAUUAGCGGAUGACUUGUGGCUGGGGGUGAAAGGCCAAUCAAACCGGGAGAUAGCUGGUUCUCCCCGAAAGCUAUUUAGGUAGCGCCUCGUGAAUUCAUCUUCGGGGGUAGAGCACUGUUUCGGCUAGGGGGUCAUCCCGACUUACCAACCCGAUGCAAACUACGAAUACCGAAGAAUGUUAUCACGGGAGACACACGGCGGGUGC
Molecule: ribosomal RNA, 223 nt
Filed under: Klebsiella aerogenes
Lineage: Bacteria; Pseudomonadati; Pseudomonadota; Gammaproteobacteria; Enterobacterales; Enterobacteriaceae
Also listed under: 7 other names
Description: partial 23S ribosomal RNA
Rfam family: Bacterial large subunit ribosomal RNA
Source: RNAcentral